UAUAAUAUAUCCUCUGCAAUUCUACGGUCGUAAACGUAAUUGCCUGGGUCCAUUGGAGAAAGCAAGAAAAACAUAUGAGAGACUGAAGGAGAAAAGAUAACAUAGAGGAAAAAAAAGUAUUUCAAGAGUUCGAGAUUGAUUAAAAGGGCAUUCUAACUGUUGCUAACACGUUCUAUAAUCAAUCUUCAUGUUUGAGUUUGUUAUGUUUGUAAAAUGUGGUUUGGUCGUCAAUGCAGUUUAUGCGCCAUAUUGAGUUGCUUCAUAUAGUUUAUAUAUUAUCAUAUUAGUUGAAGCUCCAUAUUAGUUUUGCAAUUUGUUAUUUAAUAAAUUAGUUGAUGGUUUUACACCUAAAUAUCACUUAAAUUAUCAAACAUGAGACGGACAAAACCGCACUUCCGUACGCGCCCCCGCGCGUGCACGAACAGUAGUAUAUAUAUGAUAGAACAAAAAAGGAUUUAGUGAAGAUUUCAGAAUUUCCUGAUGCAAACUAUCAACUUUCAAAAAUCAUAACUAAAUAUAGGAAAAUCAUUUUCAAGAAAUUCCAAUUCUGAGAUGAUCUUUAACAUGUCUACUGUAACUUUCAUGAAAACACCAAGUUCAAACAAUCAACCAAAUUGCAUAGUUUUCAGAGAGAAGCUAACUGGUUCAAAAUCUCAGAAAACAGUGAUCUGCGAAAAAUCAUAAUUUAAUCUAAAACAAUCAUUUUCAAGUGAUUCAAACUCUCAAACGAACCUUAAGAUGUCUUGUCAAGACCCACCCCGAAUUUCACCCUGAAACCCGAAGUAAAUCCUGCGGGGACCACCUCCAAGGAAAGUUUACCGAAAAUUCGGCAUAACCUCCCUUGAAAAUGGGCAACCCUUCCUAAUAAUACCUGCAUACGCUUCUGAAAAUCCAAAUCCAAUCUUAAACUCCUGGAGCCUUUGUGCUCCCCCAAAUCACAACAUCUCUCAAUUGAUUUACUAACUUUAAAAAGAAAAUCUCACAACCAACAACCACAGUUCAGAGCAACUCUAUUUGAGAGGAAAAGAACUAGUAAUUUAAAAAUGAGUGGAAGCUAUAUAUUGACUGUCACAUCCCGACCCUUAUAUUUUUACCUUGUUUACUAGCCUGAUUAUAAUAAGAAUUUUACCGUUUCCGUCAUUGAGUUAAUAGUUAAUUGGUCCCUAAAGGGGUUUCGGAGACGAUUAUGUGCGGAGGAUUAUUCGUAUGAGGAAAAUACGACAACGGUAAAAAUAGUAAAUUUUAGCUAGUAAAAGGUAAUUUUUAUUCGGGUAUUAUUUUUUCGGGGUGUUUUAUUUUUGUGGGAGUUGGGUAUAAGGGGGAGUUGGACCGGUUGGAGAGGCCCAACCCUUUUCCCUCUCUUCUCUNNNNNNNNNNNNNNNNNNNNGAGAUAGUUCCAUUGAUCAAAGAUCAUAACAACGAAAAUGGUCAAGCAUGAAUAGUUCGAGGACCAUUCAAGCAACAUAGCUAAAAACUAAAUACAGACUACAUCUAAGAAUUGAAAGAACAACCUCAAAACUACAUCCAAAAAGGUGGAUAUGACAAACUAAAAAGCAUAAAACCUUCUAAACUCCAACAACGACUCAACUUUCAAUCGAAUCAGGCCUAAGACCUAAUAGUGUAUCUUUUAUCGAAUUGAAAAGAAAGAGAGGAAUUGCUGGAGUUUAAAAGGGAUCUUUUCCCUAGCAAGCCCACAACAAAUCUAGUCAAGGCUUGGUCUAAGGUCAGACCAAACAAAGGAAGAGUGAUGAAAUGGGCCAAAUGGCAAAACCUAGCCCACAUAGCACCCUCCCCUCUGCCAGCUCCGACUGUCGCUGGAGCCGCCAUGCCGCCAGAUCAGUCCGGCGGUCUGCCAUGCCAUGAUAUCAUUGCUCCUCAGCCUUGUUGUGCCGCUGGAGACGAGCAAACACGGCUGCCCCUCCUUAGAACAAAAUCUGCUACCGCUGCAUUGAUUUGAUCUCCCAAGCAUUAUUCUCCUACCUCCUCCUCAAACCCAGAAACCAGAGCCGUCUAUUGCCGCAAAGCAACCUACCCUUCCGCUGUAACCAGCCACAGAUGACAAUGAUCAAACCCAAAGGCCUCACCUUCGCCGAAAGUCAAAAGCUUUGCCAACAAACAUGCACUCCGACUCCUUUUCACCACACAACAAUGACGUGCCGCCUUUAGACCUGGCGCCGAAGCAUCCUUUGCCCAGACGGAAGACCGAGAGGCCGCCGUUGCUCUUUUACGCGAAACCUAGGGUUUUGGUAUUGUUUUUCUAGCUUUGUACAAGUUUGAGUUCUUGUUACAAUGGUAAAACUAGGGGUGGGCAUGGGACGGGAUGGGACGGGAUAGAGCUAAUCCCACGGCCCGUCCCGGAUAUUGAAAUCGGGACGAGACAGGACGGGAUUUGCGUUUUUAAGAUUUCAUCCCACCCGGGCCCUAUCCCGGUUGGGACGGGACGGGACGGGACGGGCCUAAUCCCAGAUUAAAAAAGUUAAAAAUAAAUUUGUAAGUAAAGGAAAGAGUUUAAUAGUGCUCUUUACUCUAUUAAGUAUUAAGAAGUACUUGUAACAUAUUUACAAGUACAACACAGUAUAAUAAGAGAAUUUAUAUUGCUUAUUUUCUCUAAACCUGUCAUCACUACUACGGUGCAAGAAGAGAGUCUAUAACAAUCAACAAAUUAAAGUAUUAAACAUCACUAUUAUUGAAUUGGAGACAACCUAUUAACUUAAAGAAACAAAGAGUUAAGAUCAAAACACUUAAAUGAAAGCUUCAAAUCACAUAUUAAUUAAUAAAAAAUCAAUUAUUAAAAUAAUCGGGACGGGACGGGCCUAAAUGGGAUUUGAAUUAUCCGUCCCAUGUCCCGUCCCGUUGUAUAGGGAUGGGAUGGGACGGGACGGGACGGGCCGAACGUUUUAAUAUUUAAAUCCCGUCCCGUCCCGGCAAAUUUCAGGAUAGGACCGGGACGGGUUCGGGAUUACGGGAUUUUAUGCCCACCCCUAGGUAAAACAAGAAAUUAUGAAAGAAAAUUUUCCUCUUCUUAGUUUUAGCAUUAACUUUAAUAUUAAUAUUUAGGUUAUGUUAGAAAUUUGAAAUGAGGUUUAGUGAGAAAAUGAUUAUAUUGAAAAGUAAAAGAGAGGUGUAGAGAGAAUGAGAGGUAUAUUAAGCAAAUUUGGAGGUCUUAAUAGCCGCAUUUUACUUGUUAAUACCUUUGAAAUGCUAUUGUACUAUAUCAUACUCUUGACGAUUACGCUAUUAAGGUUAAGUUUGAGAAAAUACAAAGUCAUCACAGUAAACAUCUUUAACUUUGAAAUUUAAACUAUUAAAGGGAGUUAAAUGUAAUUGUCUGAAUUUCUCAAUUUUCAGAACUUUUGUUAGGAAAAACUCCCUUCAUUUUGCUACUAGUGAUUGUAUGAUUCAAAUUAGUGAAUUGAAAGUCAACCAGCUCGAACUUGUGUGUUUGAUACUUUGUAUAGUUAUGUAUAAAUAACUAAAACAAUUUCGACUUUUCUUCUGCCCGCAAUGUAUAAGCUAUAAUGAGAAGUGUUAGGAGGCUUAUUGAUGAUGGUGCGAUCGUGCCCAAAAUUCAGUUAGUACAACGAAAGGCGUCUCUCAACAUAAACAUUAUCAUCAACUGUUGAACAAAUUAUGAAAGCCUGUAUAUACAUCCACAACCCCAAGCUAGCCCUCUAGAUUUGGACAUUUGGUCGUGCCCAAAACUAAAAAGGUAACAUUUCCUAAACUAUAUCAAUUAUUGUCACAAUGUGGCCCCCUGCUUCGUCUAUCUAUGAUAAAUUUAGAAAACAUUUUCGUGUGGAUGAAAUUCAUGUAAUUUUCUACGGUUGUUGGUUAGGUCAAUGUACACCAAACUCUACAUUAUUUAAACCCCUAGGACCCAAAUUCCUCUAACCAAAAUGAAAUCUCCGACCAAUCAAAUAAUUUCUAUACAGAUUUUGUCACAUCCCGACCCUUAUAUUUUUUACCUUAUUUACUAGCCUGAUUAUAAUAAGAAUUUUACCGUCUUGAUCAUUGAGUAAAUAGUUUAAUUGAUCCCUAGAGGGGUUUCGGGGACGAUUAUGUGCGGAGGAUUAUUCGUAUGAGGAAAAUACGACGACGGUAAAAAUGGUAAAUUUUAGCUAGUAAAAGGUAAUUUUUAUUCGGGUAUUAUUUUUCGGGGUGUUUAAUUUUAGAAUUUGGAUAGUUUAUAAGUGAUGGACCGGUUUGGGGUGUGAGGCCCAAACCCAUUCUUUUUCCUCCCGAUUUUCUCUCCUCACCCGCUCCCGCAUUUGUCACACCCCAGGACCCAUUCCGCCGUAAUAUGAUAUUGUCCGCUUUGGGCCCACCGGCCCUCACGGUUUUGUUUCCGGCAGCUCAGGAGCAGCUUCCCAGUAGGUCACCCAUCUUGGGAUUGCUCUAGCAUCAACAUGCUUAACCUCGGAGUACCCAUCCCCUCUGAAGCCGCUGAGCCACCAAAAAGCCUCGUGUUAGAUUGGAGGUGGGCAUGUAUAUAUACAGCACAUAACCCCUCUCCGUUUGGCCUAUGUGGGAUAUUACAAUCCACCCCCCUUGGGAGUCCGACGCCCUCGUCGGCACACUCGCACCACACGGCAGAGUGGCUCUGAUACCAUUUGUCACACCCCAAGACCCAUUCCGCCGUAACACGAUAUUGUCCGCUUUGGGCCCACCGGCCCUCACGGUUUUGUUUCCGGCAGCUCAGGAGCAGCUUCCCAGUAGGUCACCCAUCCUGGGAUUGCUCUUGCAUCAACAUGCUUAACCUCGGAGUACCCAUCCCCUCCGAAGCCGCUGAGCCACCAAAAGACCUCGUGUUAGAUUGGAGGUGGGCAUGUAUAUAUACAACACAUAACCCCUCUCCGUUUGGCCGAUGUGGGAUAUUACAGAUUUCCUUAAGUAAAGGGGUAACACUCUGUUCAAUAAAAUUAGUAGGUUUUUGUAACCAACAUAUAAAAUUCUAUCUGGUCACUCAUGUUACAACACAAAAUUAUAAAAUAGUAAAAAUAACAGCAUCAAAAUAAGCCUCAAGCACACUCAACUGAUGGGAGCAAUAUCAUGGCCAUUUGAUAAUUGGUCUUUUAAAACUCGUGAUUAGCCACCUUAUCCUUUGUUAGAUUGAGAUUAGUUAGAAGAUUAGCACUAAUCAUGAGACAAUGUGCCAGACUGCCAGCUGGGGACUAGUUUGUGUGGCUGAGUGGCUAAUUGAGUAAUUAGAAACAAUAAUUUGGGAUAGAAUAUGAAUGAAAUAACCGGAGGCCAGUGGACUAUAUAUCUUGUGAGAGCCUAGAUGCCUAGUUGACAAUCUGAUAUGCUAAUAGGGGACACGUUGGCCAUUUGAGUGAUGACCACUCAAAAUGUUUUUUACGAGUUUUUUUUUUUCUUAUGGGACUACACAUUUCAUCAUUUAUAAAUGUAUAUUCUUUACUAGUUAAUUGUUUUCAGUUUUGAAUAAAAGUUGAUUCUUUAUUAAU
Molecule: long non-coding RNA, 5465 nt
Filed under: Fragaria vesca (wild strawberry)
Lineage: Eukaryota; Viridiplantae; Streptophyta; Magnoliopsida; Rosales; Rosaceae
Description: long non-coding RNA (FVES_LNC000468)
Source: RNAcentral